UACAGGUUCAUUCACUUCCGGAUGUAUGGUGGAUUCGAGAUUCGGUGGCAGCACACCUUCAGAAUCCAUUCAAAUUGAUGACAGACCCUCAGGAGACAAAAACCGAAAACAUGACCAAUUCCCUUCUGAGUCUUCCAUGGUGGGUAUUACUGCUCUACAGGAUGUGCAACCGAACAAGGCAUGCU
Sinocyclocheilus anshuiensis is the source of this 185-nucleotide long non-coding RNA. RefSeq lists it as uncharacterized. The record is from RefSeq and is a predicted model, not a curated record. Lineage: Eukaryota; Metazoa; Chordata; Actinopteri; Cypriniformes; Cyprinidae. The transcript is spliced from 3 exons.